RNAcentral lists this ribosomal RNA (497 nucleotides) under uncultured bacterium. RNAcentral describes it as "partial 16S ribosomal RNA". It matches the Rfam family "Bacterial small subunit ribosomal RNA", at positions 28 to 507 of the family's 1533-position model. The record is from RNAcentral.
GAUGAACGCUGGCGGCGUGCCUAAUACAUGCAAGUCGAGCGAACAGACCAGGAGCUUUCUCCUCUGACUUUAUCGGCUGACGUGUGAUUAACACGUGUAUAACCUACCUAUAAUACUGGGAUAACUUCGGCAAACCGUAUCUAAUCCCGUAUAAUUUAUUUAACCUCAUUGUUCAAUAGUUAAAUUCGGUUUUUCUUUCACUUAUAGAUUCAUCCGCCCCGCAUUAGCUAGUUGUGAAGGUAACGGCUUACCAAGGCAACGAGUCGUAACCGACCUGAGAGGGAGAUCGGCAAAACUGGAAGGGAGAAACGGUACAGACACCUACGGGAGGAAGAAGUAGGGAAUCUUACGCAAUGGGCGAAAGCAGGACGGAGCAAAACGGGGUGAGGGAUGAAGGAGUAAGGAUGGGAAAAAUAUGUUAGUAGGGAGGAAGAAAAGUGUAAGUAACUAUGAAGGUAAUGACGGUACCUAAUAAGAAAGCCACGGCUAACUACGUG